UACGGAGGAUCCAAGCGUUAUCCGGAAUUACUGGGCGUAAAGAGUUGCGUAGGUGGCAUUGUAAGUCGGUAGUGAAAGCGUGGGGCUCAACCUCAUAAACAUUACCGAAACUGCAAAGCUUGAGGACGAGAGAGGUCGCUGGAAUUCCUAGUGUAGGAGUGAAAUCCGUAGAUAUUAGGAGGAACACCGAUGGCGUAGGCAGGCGACUGGCUCGUUCCUGACACUGAGGCACGAAAGCGUGGGUAGCAAACGGG
This 254-nucleotide ribosomal RNA is filed under the name uncultured bacterium. Its description in RNAcentral is "partial 16S ribosomal RNA". It matches the Rfam family "Bacterial small subunit ribosomal RNA", at positions 524 to 776 of the family's 1533-position model. The record is from RNAcentral.